CACGUAGGGCGCAAGCGUUGUCCGGAAUUAUUGGGCGUAAAGAGCUCGUAGGUGGUUUGUUACGUCCGCUGUGAAAACCUAGGGCUUAACCCUGGGCUUGCAGUGGAUACGGGCAGGCUUGAGUUCGGUAGGGGAGACUGGAAUUCCUGGUGUAGCGGUGAAAUGCGCAGAUAUCAGGAGGAACACCGGUGGCGAAGGCGGGUCUCUGGGCCGAUACUGACGCUGAGGAGCGAAAGCGUGGGGAGCGAACAGG
RNAcentral lists this ribosomal RNA (253 nucleotides) under uncultured bacterium. RNAcentral's name for it is "partial 16S ribosomal RNA". It matches the Rfam family "Bacterial small subunit ribosomal RNA", at positions 524 to 776 of the family's 1533-position model. The record is from RNAcentral.